UGCACAUGGGUUAGUCGAUC
Molecule: small RNA, 20 nt
Filed under: Arabidopsis thaliana (thale cress)
Lineage: Eukaryota; Viridiplantae; Streptophyta; Magnoliopsida; Brassicales; Brassicaceae
Description: Ath_wt_05585
Source: RNAcentral